GGAUGUGAGGGCGAUCUGGCUGUGACAUCUGUCACCCCAUUGAUCACCAGGGUUGAUUCGGCUGAUCUGACUGACUAGACAGGUGUCCCCUUCCUCCCUCACCGCUCCAUGUGAGUCCCUCCUGAAGCUGCAUGCUCGGUCAAAGAGGAUGACCAUCCCCGAUAGAGGAGGACCGUUCUUUUCGGUCAAGGGUAUAGGCGUUGUGCGCCCCCCUUGCUAGAACCUCCAAACAAGCCCUCAAAAUACACUAAUCUAUCUUCUUAGCUAUAUUUUUCAGAACAUUUGAAUCAGUUAAACAGAAGUU
This 304-nucleotide small nuclear RNA is filed under the name Camelus ferus (Wild Bactrian camel). RNAcentral describes it as "7SK RNA". It matches the Rfam family "7SK RNA". Rfam says of the family: 7SK was discovered as an abundant small nuclear RNA in the mid-70s but a possible function has only recently been suggested. Two independent studies have found that 7SK RNA binds the CDK9/cyclin T complex (known as elongation factor P-TEFb). P-TEFb activates transcription by phosphorylating the C-terminal domain of RNA polymerase II. The record is from Rfam by way of RNAcentral. Lineage: Eukaryota; Metazoa; Chordata; Mammalia; Artiodactyla; Camelidae.